This is a long non-coding RNA of Camelus dromedarius (Arabian camel), 1404 nucleotides long. RefSeq lists it as uncharacterized. Lineage: Eukaryota; Metazoa; Chordata; Mammalia; Artiodactyla; Camelidae. The record is from RefSeq and is a predicted model, not a curated record. The transcript has 3 exons.
CCGCAGAACUGUAUUCCCGCGGGGGUUCGAUGAGGUGCGCGAUCCAGUUGAGUUACUCUGAGGCGCGAGAUCCCGCGAGAGCAGGAGCUUGACCAUUUUUCCUAAGGCGGGAGCGGAGCCCUGGGGCUUAGCUGGCGGAGAAAGGUGGCUGCAGUUCCCAAGAGAGCAGAGUGAAGACACCUGGAAAGAAGUUGUCAUCACUAAGAAUGUCUUCUGGAAGACUGCUUGUUUGCGAUCUCCAGCAACAUGGUUGACAGAGGGCCCCGGUUCUGCUCACAUGGACCUCCUUCCCUGACUUCUUGCUGAGUCUGCCUUUCACAGUCUGCCCCCAGCUUGUGACUGACCAUGACAGUGACCCUAAGGCAGACCUGUUUCUGGGAAACACAGGACCUCUCCUGCAGGUGACUUUGGCUCAAGGAUCUCUCAACAGCCUUACCAAAUCUUCCCUACCAGCAGUCUAGAACACAUCCGUGCACUUCAAUCUGGGGUCCUUUGGGUGUCUCCCAGCCUUUCUUUGACCCUCCCCAUUUUCUCUCACAUGGACAAUUUUCCUAAUAAAAUUUUUGCAGGUGUAACUCCAUCUUUGCAUCUGCUUCUCAGAGGACCCAGACUAACACAUUUUGUUAGGGAGUAAUAGGGCUAUAAAGAAAAAUAAAAGCACAGUUAGGUGUUGUAAGUGUGCGCUCUUAAGUAGGGGAGGUCAAGUAAGGUCUCAGGCAAAGGUGGCCUUUGAACCUCAUACAUUUGUGGGAACUCUAAUUUCCAGGGCAAAAUAAAUUGCUUGAGAUUUAUAGCACUGAUUUGUGGUAGAUCAGAUAGCUGACACUUUUAAAUACAACUGCUUUUAUAUGCAGAUUGUAUGUUAGUGGUGAAAAAGAAAAUGUAACGAGAGUGCCUAUUUGGGUGACAAUUCAUGUCAGACAAUUGUGUAUAUGUAGAAAAAAACUACUUCAAAGGGGUGAGGAAAAGGCUUCAGAAACCAUAGAAUAACACAGUUACUUCCUCUCAGCCUGCUUCAUUCUGGCAUUCCUUUUAUCCCCCUGUUCUUUUAGAUUUAUUUUGAUAGUGCUGCAGCAUCUAUACCAAUUCUUCAAUCAGCAGUUUUAAAAUAGGGUAUGAUAUUGAAUUUAUCUUUUUUCCUUCUGACCUUUUCCAGUUCUGUUUCCUGCAACAUCUCCAUCUCCUAUACUAUUUAAGUUGUCACUGAAAUAUGUUUCAAAAUAUUACACAAUACAGAAUAAUAAGUACAUUCUUUUGGGAUCUGAACUGUAACCUCUUAGAAAUAGCUUUUUUUCCUCCUCUUUGCUCCUACAUACCAAAUCUUCCUGUUGAAAUCACAUUAUAUUGAGAAGCCAGGGAAAGUUUAUAUCCUGGGUUGAAAUCUAGUUCUUUUAUUAAAGGAAU